AGUGAACGCUGGCGGCGUGGAUUAGGCAUGCAAGUCGAACGAUCCCGCAAGGGAUAGUGGCAAAAGGGUGAGUAACACGCGAGCAAUCUACCUUCGAGUGGGGAAUAACGCUGGGAAACCGGCGCUAAAACCGCAUAAGACCACGGUUUGGCAUCAAACCGAGGUAAAAGUGGGGACCGCAAGGCCUACUGCUUGAAGAUGGGCUCACGUCCUAUCAGCUUGUUGGCGGGGUAAUGGCCCACCAAGGCUUUUGACGGGUAGCUGGUCUGAGAGGAUGGUCAGCCACAUUGGGACUGAGACACUGCCCAGACUCCUACGGGUGGCAG
Molecule: ribosomal RNA, 326 nt
Filed under: uncultured Omnitrophica bacterium
Lineage: Bacteria; Pseudomonadati; Candidatus Omnitrophota
Description: bacterial SSU rRNA
Rfam family: Bacterial small subunit ribosomal RNA
Source: RNAcentral